UUCAGACAAAGUGACCAGCAUCAGUGUCAUUUGAACAGUGCGGUUGUGAUCCUACACAACUUGAACACAUACGUUUUGUAUUGAGGACCCCCAGUGAUGACAUAGAGUACAUCACCAUAAUGGCUUCAGUUAUGGACACCCCACCUUGUGGCUGCACAGCGUCAGGGGAUUUUGAAAGCUGAAAGACCCAAGCUUUCGGCAGGAAGUCCCCCAAUCUGCCUUGAAUGGAGGAAAGGCCACAAGGGACAGGGAUUGCAGGGCGCCGUGGAUACCAACCCAGCACGAUAGAGGGCUGCUGAGGGUUUGGAUGGGGUUUGGGUGUGUUGAACAGUUCUGUGUUGAUGACGGCUACCUGCA
Long non-coding RNA from Esox lucius (northern pike), 357 nucleotides. RefSeq lists it as uncharacterized. NCBI's taxonomy places the organism in Eukaryota, Metazoa, Chordata, Actinopteri, Esociformes, Esocidae. The transcript is spliced from 3 exons. The record is from RefSeq and is a predicted model, not a curated record.